This 510-nucleotide ribosomal RNA is filed under the name Triticum aestivum (bread wheat). Its description in RNAcentral is "partial small subunit ribosomal RNA". The record is from RNAcentral. Lineage: Eukaryota; Viridiplantae; Streptophyta; Magnoliopsida; Poales; Poaceae.
AUGUGGUAUCUCCGUAGGGGAAUUGUGCUAACAAAAGACAACCUCGCACGACGCAACUGGUCGGGAAGUAAGAAGUGUUGUUUUUGUACUCAUGACGAGACAAUUAAACACCUCUUUUUUCACUGUAAGUUUGCGCGUUCUACGUGGUCAGCCAUCCAAAUAGCGUCAAAUUUGUAUCCACCCACAAGUGUUGUCAAUAUUUUUGGUCAUUGGCUGGACGGUAUUUCAAAUGCAUACAAAACGCUAAUAAGGGUGGGAGCGUAUGCCUUAUUAUGGUCGCUUUGGCUAUGUAGAAAUAAUGUUGUUUUUAAUGACAAAACUGUUUCUCCUUUGCAGGUUAUUUUCCGUUGUACGCACUCGCUUCGUACGUGGUGUACGCUACAACGAGCGGAGUACCAACCGCUAUUCAAGGCGGUGUGUACGCUGUUGGAGCAGGUGGCUACGGAGGUUUUUAGCCAACAUGGAUGGCAGCAUAAUCUCCGGCUCGGUCCACCAUCUCUUUCGACAUAG